CCAGACAGCUGCUCUUUGUAGCCUCCACCCCGCCCCUGAUCACCUGGUCAGCGUGUCCCACUUGGUCUGAGCAGUCUGGCCUCAGGGUGGUCAGAGGUCCCAUAGCUUCUGAGACCUUCAAGCAUUCCCUCCUCCAAAGCCAGGCCUCAGUGGUGAUUCUGGGGCAGCAGCUCCUCUUCCCCUGCCAAUAUGGGGUCUGCAGAGCCCCUGACCAAGAGUCAGUCCAGUGGUCUGGGACCACAGCUGCCCUAGGAGACCCCAGGACCACAGCCAAGCUGGGAUGUGCACCUGCAGAGCCAACAGCACAGCUGGUGCGCAGUCAGAAAACACCGGCACCCCAGGAAGCUGGGAGUCCUGGCCCACCCCAGGCCUAGGGUGGCAUCAGAUGGCUGGGAAGGAGGAGGCAGUGAUGGGCACCGCCCCUCUGGGCCUCCCUCAACCUCUCCGCCCAUAAGCUAGAGCAAGAAAACUUGCCCAGCAGCCUCCCAGGAACAGGAAAGACUGGAAAACUCACAAACCAAGGUGUCCAGGAUGGGGGAGCUGUUAGGUCAGCAUCCACCCACCUGGUGGCUGGGCAGCCAAAUGUUUGUGUGACGGGGCCACAUUCAUGCCAUGAAACCAGAGACAGCACACCAAGCCAACCCAGCACCACACAGAAGAGAUGGGAUGGAGACAAACAUGGGCAGAGGCUACAGGACUUGGACACUUACACUUAUGCAAAAACCUGCACCUGGAUGUUGAUGGCAGCUUUAUUCAUAAAUGCCAAAACUAGGAAGUAACCAAGACACCCUUCAAUAGAUAACAGGGGUGCCUGGGCCCCACGGGCUGGACCCUGUUGGUGAAUGACCCAGCAGCAGCCACACCAGACUCCCCCUGAAAAGUCUCCAGAAGCUGAGGUUCCCAGUGCCAGCAUCCAGGUAGGCCCUCUGCAGCCUGUCGAUUUCCUUUUUCCUGACUCCUUCCCCCAUCUGUGCCCGCACCAGUUCAGGAGACCCAGGGGUUCCCACAGCUCCAUAAUGCCCCCUCCCUGCUAGUGAGACUCCUGCUAGAAGUUCCGGUGCCCCCAUGGCCUCACCAGGUGUCACAGCACCUGCACCAGAUCCCAAGUGCCCCAAGGGGCUGAACAUCACAAUAAGUGAGCCACACAAGGAACCUCGGGGCCUUUGAACAAAUACCCUCUCUGCCUGGACUCUGCACCAAAGCCAGGACUCUGAAGACACCGAGGACACUGGUGCUCCCAGGGCCCCAUGCAGGAGGCCUGAGGCGGGGCAGCCACCCCAGGAAAACGUCUACAUCAGAUACAUCUCCGGCCACGUGGAAGUGGCACGUGUGGCCUGCAGGCUGGGGAGAAGCAGGACCACAGUCUGAGGCAGAACUGCAGGUGGGCAGGCUGCAGGGCCUUGCUUCCCCUGAGGGCACUGCGUGGCUUUCCUGACCAAAGGUCCUGGAAAGGCUUGGCGAGGAGCAAGUCAAUGCCCUUGGUCAUCAGAGGCUGGCCACAUGGGCCAGGGCUUCCAGAGCUCUCAGGGGAGGUAGGUGGGAGACAGCUCAGAUGCUCCCACACACCCAAACAAGGACACUGAGAGGCAGAGGUGUCCUGGGCUCCCCAGACCUGAGGGGACUCAGCCUCGCUUCCUGGGCCUCAGGAGGCCUGGCCUUCCCCCAUCUCAGAUUUCCAAACACAAGGAGAUGACUGACCUAGCUGAGUUCAGGCCCACUUCCCAGGGGCAGGCUCCAGCCCGCAUGACGGCUGCACCAGCCCCAUCUUCUCCUUGUAGGGUGGCCAGGGCUGGCAUGGGCCACUCAACAGAGGUGCCACACCACUGGAGGCGGCAAAGCUGGCCUGUGAGCAGGUGGCUGGGCUCCACACAGGUGGAGCAGAACACCCAGGGUGCUAGACCCAAAGACGACAGAGGCAGGGAACCACCCAGUGAGGCUCUGGGAAUCCCACCCUGCUCCUCCCACUGCACCCACGGCCCCUUCACCAGGAGGGCCCCAUUCUUAGUGUGCUGGACACUCCCACUGCCCACUGCAUGGAUGCCACACACAGGGCACUCCACACACAUAUCACACACCACACACACCAAACACUCCACGCACACACACCACACAUGCAUACAUGUAACACACGUGCACACACACACACAGACACACACACCAGCCAAGCAGGCAGGAUGCUGCUCAGGGGGACAGCAUCACCCACCUGAGAGGUUCUGGGACCCCGAGGCCUUACCUCUCUGGGUGACAACACUUUUGUCAACAAAGACGCAGCCUCGCCUGCACCUUGGUGGCCAGAUUUGGCGAAUGAAAGUGCAGGGCACACAGUCACAUCAAGUCCCAGAAAGCAGGAAUCCAGACUUUCCUCUGGCCACCCGCCUGCCUCUUCACCCCCUGGCUAGGCACCCCCAGGUGUGAACCAAGGGGCCCUCUGCCCCAACGGACUUUGGUCCAGGGGGUGGUGGGCCAGCGCCCGAGGGGCCCCUGGGUCAGACACUGCAGUGCUCCUUUGCUCCCUUGCUCAGUUUUGGAAUCACUAUGGCCAACUCCCAGCUCCCCAUCUUCUCGACAGCCUCGCCCCUCACUUGGAAUUUGUCUGGAAUCCCCCUCGGCCCCCUGGGUCUCAUUUCUUGAACUUCGGGAGCAGAGGGGCUGACAGGGGUCGCAUCACAGAGAGCAUGUUGGACACAAACAACCCUGGAAUUGCCCUUGGGGCCCUGCAGGGGGCACAGGGGUGAGUGUGUGAGGUCCACCUCCAUGCAGGGGUUAGCCAGUGGCCUCACCCUGGGGACCCUGUAACAGCUGAGGGCGUGCAGCAGGACCGGCUCACUGCGCCUGUUAAAGGGAGAGCAGCUGUCACGAACCAUGCACAUGUGAAGAGCUUGGGCAAUACGUGGAGGGCCAGGCUCCCAGUGGCAUGGGCCACUGUGGAUAAAAUGAGAGUUCCUGUGGCCAGGAUUCUCACCUGACCCUGGUCGGCUAGCUCACUACACACGUGUGGGCAAUACAUUGCUAUUGACUCUAUAGAAAGAGCUCUGCCCAGUGGUCUGCGUGACAGGGUGGCAUGGCUGCAGGGCAGCAAGAGAGCACAGCAGAGGCUGGAGUGCUGGCAGCACCGAGGACAGAGGCCCAGAGGCAGAGAUUGGCUUGCUGCAUGCAGACUCGCUCUGAGUGAACAGGAUUCUAGUGACUGACCUGCCACCAUGGAAAUAAAGUUGGGUGUAACCCUUUCACCCCAAGAUUGUUCUACUGUCAUUUCUUUGGUCACACUCCAUAGUGAACUUGCCCAGGGCUGAAACCCAUUGGCAAGACAGCCACAGUCCAGCACCAGAUGCAGCUUCCCAGGGACAUGCCCUCCUGUGGCCCCUGGAGGUGCUUUCUAGUUCACGCAUGGGACCGGCAUGCUGGGCACUCUUCUUGGGGUGGCUGGCCUACCCAAACACACACACAGCAGACGCCUGUGGAAAAAUCCUGGCCAGGCCAACUGUGCUUCCUAGGGCCCAGGCCCCCCACCAGGCCCUGUGCUGGAGAGGAAAGACCCGACCCACCUGGGCCAACUUCAGGUACCCUUCUCAGGGACGCAAAACAAGCAUGAACAUGAGAAAGGCCACUUGGCAGCCACCCUGCCAGGCUGCAGGGCCACCCUGACCUGGACGGCCCACAGAAGAGCCUCUGCAACCCAUCCUCCCAGCUAGGGACCCACCCCCAGCCUCCUGUGCCCUCUAACAGCCUAGGGCCGGGGACCUCCCCAGGGGUGCCAAGACACAGCACCCUCACGCCAGCCAUGAGGCACAGUGGCUGCUGAUUGAGGCUGGUGGCUUUCCCCCCUCAUCAUCACCACUUGUGGAGGUUCAGGCCCACCUCUGGGGACCCUACCGACAGCCUGCCCCUUACAAGCACCCAGUGUCCUCUCCAAAGCCUUUCUGGGGCACAGGAGCCAAGUCUCAAUGCUCGAGCCACGAGGAAGUAGACAAGCCUCUGCAAACCAGCCACGUUCACAGGAGCCAAUGUUACCGCCCCUGAAUCGUCAGCCUGCUCUCGCCUGUCGAGUCCACCAUGUACCGCACCUGUGGGUCAGGCCUUCCUGUCUCAGGGCAUCUGGGCUCCCCCAGGUGGCUGAGCAGGCGGUCCACAGGAUGAAGCAGCCAGUCAGUGGAGCAGUGGGGGUGCUCCUGAGGACCUCUGCCCACUCCAGGACACCCUCCUUUCUGGGGCAGAGGAGGAGGGAGUGGGCUGAGAUGCUCUCCUGGGGGUGGGGUCCUGGAGAAGCGGAGCCAGGAGAGGGGGAGCACAGACAGUUCCUCAAUGUCUAGGAAGGGAGGUGGAGAGAACCCACAUGCAGGGAUGGGUGACAGGGCCCUCCUUGGACAGCACAGGACUCUCCCUAGCAGAUCCCCAAACUCCCCACCACUUCCUGCCUCCUAGACACACACAGGAGGGGCAGGCCACCCCUCCAUGCUCUCUGCAAGUCCACCACCCCAGCUGCCCAGCAAACUGUUGCUUCCAGCCCCACAGGUGGGGUGGGGAAACCAAGGCCCAUCUAGGUCAUAUGGCUGGGCUGCCUGGUCUCCCACCCGGGUCUCCUGCACACCCCACCCCGGACUGGGCAGCCUCUGCCCCCACCCUUCCCAGAGUCAGUGGGCAGGGUCCCAAAGCAGUCCACCUGACUGCCCACGCACACACCUUCAGCUGUCUGCACGGGCACCUCCCAGGGAGGGGUGUCUGCUGGGUAGCCCCAGGAAGCCAAAGUCACCUGCCCACUCACCCUGCCCACCACCCCCAGAGCUCUGGGGCCUGACUGGACACCAUCAAGGAGCCAGCUCCGUCACCAUGGAGAGCACCCUAGUAAAGAAGUGCAGGGUCCAGGGCUGACCAGCGCUUGCCACCACCUGUCUGGCACAGGGGGCAGAGCCACUGUGGGCAGCCUGUGAGCCUGUGAUGCUCACCACUCCCAGACCUGGACCUGCCAGGCCUGGCGCUGGGAUGGCCGCCCAUCUAUGGGGUGUGUCUGCACCCCGGUUCUCGGGAGCCAGUCCCAGGCUCCCAUGGGCUGCAGCCCAGCCUACAUGCAGCUUGCCUCCCACUGCCCUCUGGGCACCAGGUUCUAAUAGAUGCAAGGAAACCUCCCAAGACUUCUCCCAGCCACAUGUGGUCCAAGUUGUCCCCCAAGAUGCCACCCCCUCAAACUGGUACUGACUCUUAGGCUUCAGGCACCCUGCAGUUGUCUCCGCAAAGCCCCCAGACCCAGACAACAAUAGAGGAGCCCUGCUAAACAGAAAGGUCAGAGAGCAGAGCCAGAGGGCAGCCUGCCCAACAGCUGGGUAAAGGUCUACUCCUGCUGGCUGGCUGUGGUUUGGCAAUUAAAAUACAGAAUGCUACCGCGCUCCCCAUUCCCGAGCCCAACGAGCCAGAGCAAGGGGAGCAGUGAAGCGGCGGAGCAGGGCCAGUACAGGACGCCGGCUUUCUGUCCAAAGGAACGGAUUCAUUGUAGGACUCCAGGUGUCUCUGGGGGAGGGCAGGUGGUGGAGGCUGGCCAAACAGCACAAACCUUCAGCUGUAAGACAGAGGUCUGAGGGGCUAACAUACUACAUGCUGAAUGGAGAUCACAGCCCUGCACAUUGUACAACUGAGAUGUGCCAAGAACACAAGUGUUCUCACCUACAGGGGGCGAUGGGAUCCCUCCACAACAUACACACACGCCAGAUCUUCACACUGCAUGCGUUCAACAUACUGCACCUGUACUUGUCCAUUACUCCUCAGUAAAGCUGAAAAAGUGAAACUGAAUUUUGUAAAUUGUGUAAGAAAAAGAAAAAGAACAAGGUAUGUGUGGGUAUGCACAUAUUUGCUGCAAACCAGAUGUGUGGACAUGCAGCUUUGUGAGGGGGAUUGGCCCAGUGGGUGCACCGUGGGCACGGCCAUACUGGGGCACAGUGCACCUGGCAUGCUCAGAAUAUGUGCACACAGCCCGGGAUGCUCAUGGGGACUCCAGAACGGGUGUUUCAAAACAAAAUGGUCACACGUUGCAUGUGGUCAGGAAAUAGUUUCUGUGAUACCAAAUCCUAGAUUUCUCAGGGCUUACAUUAUAUUUUCAGAAUUCUUUGCUGUCAUUUCUGAAGUAGGUCCAAUUGAAAGGCUCCUCCUGGUACCCUGCUCUCUCCUCCAGGAGGAGCACCUGUGGAUAACUUCUCACCUGUAAGUACCAGAGGGCCUAUGGGCAACUUUUGGUAUCUGUGAGCAAUGGUUUAAAGCCAUGCAGGAAGACCCCUCCACUUGCCAAGCAGUACUGAGCAUCUCAGCCUGGAGCUAACUCACGCUGGCCUGCAGCACAACUCUGGGGCUGUGACUGGGCAGGGCCCCAGGGGCUUGAAACUCUACCUGCACAGGGACCCCUAAGGCAGCUUUGGCCAGGGGGGUGCAGAUGGGCCCCUUCUCAGCAGACCAUCUGUACACCCGGCCAACGUACAUUACUGGGGUGUCACAUCAUACUGAGGGUCACAGAAGGCAAAGAUGCCCCAAUGCACCCCACCUUUAGAGCCUGGGGUCCUGGACAGAACAUCACAGCCCUGUCCCAGGUGGGUGUGUGAUGGGGAGACUCUCAAACCCUAGUGUUUCUAAAACCCACAGUCCACAAAAUCUGUGACAGGGAGGCCAGGGUGGGAUGACCUCUACACUCUGAAAUUUCAUUUCAUGAUUUUAUUUGAUUACAAAAGUAAUAUUAUGCUCUUGGAAAACAAGUUGGAAAGUGCAGAAAAGUAUAAAAGCAGCAGGAAAAAACCCACUUAACCCUUUUAAUAUGUUAGCAUCCCUCCCUCCAGCAGGUUUUCUGUUUUAACUAACUCAUACCAACUGGCGUAUUACAUAGACAAUGCUGAAUUUUGCUUUCAUUUGCAUUUGUAGCAGAAACAUUUUCCCAUACCAUUGAAAUCUUGCCGUAAACAUCAUUACUGAUGAUUGCAUAAUUUCCUAUUGUGUGAGUAUCUUAUAAUCCACUCGAUCACCCCCCCAGUUCUACCAUCUAAGAAUCUGGAAUUCUUGAUUUAUUCAAUGAGUAUUCAAUAUAUCUCUUUAUAUAUUUUUAAGCCUGCUCAGGUGGAUUUCUAACAGAUAUCCAGUUAAAGGGCACGGUCACUUUAAAAGUCAGAAGCAGGUUUUGGAGUGUCUACUCCAGCAGUUUCUAGGAAACGGACUGCGUGCCCGCCUAGCUCAAAUACCUUUGUCCAAAGCUCUGGGAAUAACAGCCUUCCAUCUGCACAAAACCCUCAGAGACCCACAAGGAGGCAGGGAAGACAAUCUGACCAGACAGCAAAUGCAGCCCAAGGUCAUAUUAACAGAAAUACUGCUCUGGACCAAAGGAGGUGAGACCCCAGUCCUGCAUCAACCUGGAGGGUGAGUGGGAUGGAGCCUGGGGACCCUCAGAGGCAGCUGAGAGUGAGAGGUGGGCUCAGGUCUCGUCUGCUGCUUCCUCCGGGCACUGGUGCUCCCAGGUCCUGUCCUGCUGGAACAUUCUAAGAUCUGUUCCUUGCCAUGUUUUCCUUUAGCCAUAAAGGACAAGAAAAGCAAAAAUUAGGAUAUGGAAAGCUGGCCGGGCUCCAGCUGGGCCCUGCUGCAGGCACCCAGGGACCACUAUGCUGAUGUGGGGCCUAGCAUAGGGCUGCACUGGUGAAAGUGCCGGGAACACCGAGCUUUGGUGUCCCACCCCUCAAUCAGGGCUGCCUGGCUCCCAGAACACCCAGAUGAGAUGGGGCCACAUGGACCUCCCCCUGAGCAGGGAGCCCCAUGUCCUCCUCGGGACACUCACUCCAAGCAAGCACGGAAUCUCGUUUUGCCAUUAGUCCCACUCUGUGGGCAGACACUUCCCCAAAGGCCUGGAGGGUUCUCUCGACGAGCAGCGCCAGGAUGCGGCUGCCAAGCCAGGUGGUGCUGCGUGACACUGGAAAGCCUUUUCCUCCCAUCACGAGCAGCAAGGAUCACAGGGAGCAGGCCACCCAGGGGUGGCCCCAGCACACGGUUUCCUCCUGAGUUCAAGAGUGCACUGAACCUCUGAGUCCUGGCAUGCCAGGAGGUCAGUGUGGCCGGGAGGCAACUGCCAGCCAGCUCUUCUGCCCUCAGGUUCUGACAGGGAGCAGGCCUGGUGCCUCAGGAGCUGGCAGGCCCUGCAGAGCAGGUGGAUGGCCAGUGGGAGCAGGGGCCCCAGCAGAGUGGCCUGGGGCAGACACCAGGCCUCCUCCUGCCCCAGAGCCCCCAGCUGGGCCACAUGAUGAGGUAUCCAGGAGCAGGCCCGUCCUCACUCACAGCCACAGGAGGCCAGGGCUCCCUGCACUCAGAGUUUGCUGCUGGAGACUCGGAGGCCUUCCCCAAGGACAAAGCCCGGGGGGAGAGCUCCGGCCCCUCAGAGGCAUACCCGGGUCUGCAGGAGACCAACUGGCAUGCAGCGUCUGUUCCCAUGUGAGCCUGGCCGGCUGCUCCAGUGGUGUGGGGGUCAGAGCCAUCGGGCUGCGGUG
Long non-coding RNA from Manis pentadactyla (Chinese pangolin), 8498 nucleotides. RefSeq lists it as uncharacterized. The record is from RefSeq and is a predicted model, not a curated record. The transcript has 3 exons. Lineage: Eukaryota; Metazoa; Chordata; Mammalia; Pholidota; Manidae.